Lepidothrix coronata (blue-crowned manakin) is the source of this 301-nucleotide long non-coding RNA. RefSeq lists it as uncharacterized. The record is from RefSeq and is a predicted model, not a curated record. The transcript has 3 exons. Lineage: Eukaryota; Metazoa; Chordata; Aves; Passeriformes; Pipridae.
CCGACCCGGCCAGCACGGGCGGUCCCGGGGCGCGCGCCCCGGACCGUGAGGGAGGUGCGGCUGAGGAAAGGAAGGAGGAGAGCAGACAAGUGCAGGUACAGAUCUUGUGGGAUGGGCAAUGCAGAGUGAAGCAUCGGAUGCGUUUCUCAGCAGUCUCAGCACAACAGAGUCCAGGCUGCACACCUAGGCUUUGGAUCAGAGCCUGAAUUUCCAGAGAGCCAGAAGUGGGAUCCCUACUGCACUCUUCAUUUUAAUGGUGUCUGCACUGUAAGAUGAGCAUGAGAUCUCUGUGCUCUGCAGA